RNAcentral lists this unclassified non-coding RNA (312 nucleotides) under Hevea brasiliensis (rubber tree). Lineage: Eukaryota; Viridiplantae; Streptophyta; Magnoliopsida; Malpighiales; Euphorbiaceae. The record is from RNAcentral.
AAAACAAAUACCCCACACUUGUCAAAAGCUGUAAAAAAAUAUUUUCUAAAUAGUUAUUGACCAAUAACUAUUGAAAGGCGUAGAACUACAGUAAUCCACAUAUGAUGUAAGUGUGAAGAAAUCAACUUAAAAUAAUAUUGAUGGUCACAAAAACAUUUCAUUAUUAUCACCAUUAUUAUCAUCAUCAUUGACACUAUGCCAAUUAAAAUAUAAUGAGGAUUUAAUGGUUUCAUCAGUGCACUAUUUUCAUGUGCACCUUGUAAUCACACGUGGAAACUAAAAGCUAUUUGCAUGGAUAAUAUCACAUGUUUG